Long non-coding RNA from Mytilus californianus (California mussel), 272 nucleotides. RefSeq lists it as uncharacterized. The record is from RefSeq and is a predicted model, not a curated record. NCBI's taxonomy places the organism in Eukaryota, Metazoa, Mollusca, Bivalvia, Mytilida, Mytilidae. The transcript is spliced from 3 exons.
AUGUUUGGCGUUUUUCAUAGGGUCGUUAGUUAAUAGAUGUAUGACACUAUGUUUUUCAUUUUUAAACAGAAAGGAUAGGCGAGUGAUUGGCUCAUAUAUUACAAGAUGACCGAAACCCGUGAUGACAAGUAUAAUGUUAAAGUGGAUGAUGAGGAAACAGAAUUACCUUCAAAUAGCACGAUGACGGUACGCGUAAAGACAAAUAGUGGCACGUCGAGUAAUUCAAAGGGCUCCAUUGAAAGCAUAUUGUGUUUCAAGAGUGAUCAACAAGA